This 766-nucleotide ribosomal RNA is filed under the name Bacillus sp. STS13. Its description in RNAcentral is "bacterial SSU rRNA". It matches the Rfam family "Bacterial small subunit ribosomal RNA", at positions 572 to 1338 of the family's 1533-position model. The record is from RNAcentral. Lineage: Bacteria; Bacillati; Bacillota; Bacilli; Caryophanales; Bacillaceae.
CAGGCGGUUUCUUAAGUCUGAUGUGAAAGCCCCCGGCUCAACCGGGGAGGGUCAUUGGAAACUGGGGAACUUGAGUGCAGAAGAGGAGAGUGGAAUUCCACGUGUAGCGGUGAAAUGCUAAGAGAUGUGGAGGAACACCAGUGGCGAAGGCGACUCUCUGGUCUGUAACUGACGCUGAGGAGCGAAAGCGUGGGGAGCGAACAGGAUUAGAUACCCUGGUAGUCCACGCCGUAAACGAUGAGUGCUAAGUGUUAGGGGGUUUCCGCCCCUUAGUGCUGCAGCUAACGCAUUAAGCACUCCGCCUGGGGAGUACGGUCGCAAGACUGAAACUCAAAGGAAUUGACGGGGGCCCGCACAAGCGGUGGAGCAUGUGGUUUAAUUCGAAGCAACGCGAAGAACCUUACCAGGUCUUGACAUCCUCUGACAAUCCUAGAGAUAGGACGUCCCCUUCGGGGGCAGAGUGACAGGUGGUGCAUGGUUGUCGUCAGCUCGUGUCGUGAGAUGUUGGGUUAAGUCCCGCAACGAGCGCAACCCUUGAUCUUAGUUGCCAGCAUUCAGUUGGGCACUCUAAGGUGACUGCCGGUGACAAACCGGAGGAAGGUGGGGAUGACGUCAAAUCAUCAUGCCCCUUAUGACCUGGGCUACACACGUGCUACAAUGGGCAGAACAAAGGGCAGCGAAACCGCGAGGUUAAGCCAAUCCCACAAAUCUGUUCUCAGUUCGGAUCGCAGUCUGCAACUCGACUGCGUGAAGCUGGAAUCGCUAG